GAUAGACACAACAAGGAAGGAAAUCUGGAGCCCAUCCACUGCUUGUGAAAUGAAAUACUCGUUUCCUAGACUGGUUGGGGAUAUACCCCCUCUGCGUCUGACGUAGUUCGUAGUUGGGCUGAAGAAUCCUCAAAUUACAAUUACCAAUAUAACUCCUGCUAUGGUAUCUGCGGACACUACACAAAGGUUGUUUGGGCAAAAACAGAAUAUGUCGGCUGU
This is a long non-coding RNA of Ostrea edulis (European flat oyster), 219 nucleotides long. RefSeq lists it as uncharacterized. Lineage: Eukaryota; Metazoa; Mollusca; Bivalvia; Ostreida; Ostreidae. The transcript has 3 exons. The record is from RefSeq and is a predicted model, not a curated record.